RNAcentral lists this ribosomal RNA (425 nucleotides) under bacterium E-1-0-4B. Its description in RNAcentral is "bacterial SSU rRNA". It matches the Rfam family "Bacterial small subunit ribosomal RNA", at positions 471 to 895 of the family's 1533-position model. The record is from RNAcentral.
GACGUUACUCGCAGAAUAAGCACCGGCUAACUCUGUGCCAGCAGCCGCGGUAAUACAGAGGGUGCGAGCGUUAAUCGGAUUUACUGGGCGUAAAGCGUACGUAGGCGGCUUUUUAAGUCGGAUGUGAAAUCCCUGAGCUUAACUUAGGAAUUGCAUUCGAUACUGGGAAGCUAGAGUAUGGGAGAGGAUGGUAGAAUUCCAGGUGUAGCGGUGAAAUGCGUAGAGAUCUGGAGGAAUACCGAUGGCGAANNGCAGCCAUCUGGCCUAAUACUGACGCUGAGGUACGAAAGCAUGGGGAGCAAACAGGAUUAGAUACCCUGGUAGUCCAUGCCGUANACGAUGUCUACUAGCCGUUGGGGCCUUUGAGGCUUUAGUGGCGCAGCUAACGCGAUAAGUAGACCGCNUNGNAGUACGGUCGCAAGACU